RNAcentral lists this ribosomal RNA (1290 nucleotides) under Bacillus sp. swx6. RNAcentral's name for it is "partial 16S ribosomal RNA". It matches the Rfam family "Bacterial small subunit ribosomal RNA", at positions 62 to 1342 of the family's 1533-position model. Lineage: Bacteria; Bacillati; Bacillota; Bacilli; Caryophanales; Bacillaceae. The record is from RNAcentral.
UCGAGCGAAUGGAUUGAGAGCUUGCUCUCAAGAAGUUAGCGGCGGACGGGUGAGUAACACGUGGGUAACCUGCCCAUAAGACUGGGAUAACUCCGGGAAACCGGGGCUAAUACCGGAUAACAUUUUGAACUGCAUGGUUCGAAAUUGAAAGGCGGCUUCGGCUGUCACUUAUGGAUGGACCCGCGUCGCAUUAGCUAGUUGGUGAGGUAACGGCUCACCAAGGCAACGAUGCGUAGCCGACCUGAGAGGGUGAUCGGCCACACUGGGACUGAGACACGGCCCAGACUCCUACGGGAGGCAGCAGUAGGGAAUCUUCCGCAAUGGACGAAAGUCUGACGGAGCAACGCCGCGUGAGUGAUGAAGGCUUUCGGGUCGUAAAACUCUGUUGUUAGGGAAGAACAAGUGCUAGUUGAAUAAGCUGGCACCUUGACGGUACCUAACCAGAAAGCCACGGCUAACUACGUGCCAGCAGCCGCGGUAAUACGUAGGUGGCAAGCGUUAUCCGGAAUUAUUGGGCGUAAAGCGCGCGCAGGUGGUUUCUUAAGUCUGAUGUGAAAGCCCACGGCUCAACCGUGGAGGGUCAUUGGAAACUGGGAGACUUGAGUGCAGAAGAGGAAAGUGGAAUUCCAUGUGUAGCGGUGAAAUGCGAUAUGGAGGAACACCGGCGAAGGCGACUUUCUGGUCUGUAACUGACACUGAGGCGCGAAAGCGUGGGGAGCAAACAGGAUAGAUUCCCUGGUAGUUCCCGCCGUAAACGAUGAGUGCUAAGUGGUAGAGGGUUUUCGCCCCUUAAUGCUGAAGUUAACGCCUUAAGCACUUCGCCUGGGGAGUACGGCCGCAAAGGUGAAAAUUCAAAGAAAUGACGGGGGCCCGCACCAGCGGUGGAGCAUGUGGUUUAAUUUGAAGCCACGCGAAGAACCUUUCCCGGGUUUGACAUCCUUUGGAAACCCUAGAGAUAGGGGUUUUCCCUUGGGAGCCGAGUGACAGGUGGUGCCUGGUUGUUGUCAGCUCGUGUUGUGAGAUGUUGGGUUAAAUCCCGCAACGAGCGCAACCCUUGAUUUUUGUUGCCCUCCUUAAAUUGGGCCCUUUAAGGUGGCUGCCGGUGGCCAACCGGAGGAAGGUGGGGAAGACGUCAAAUCAUCAUGCCCCUUUUGACCUGGGGUACCCCCGUGGUUCAAUGGGCGGUACAAAGAGGUGCAAGACCCCGAGGGGGAGGUAAUUUCAUAAAACCGUUUUCAGUUUGGAUUGUUGGGUGCAACUUGCCUACCUGAAGCUGGAAUCGCUUGUAAU